This 253-nucleotide ribosomal RNA is filed under the name uncultured bacterium. RNAcentral describes it as "partial 16S ribosomal RNA". It matches the Rfam family "Bacterial small subunit ribosomal RNA", at positions 524 to 776 of the family's 1533-position model. The record is from RNAcentral.
GACAGAGGGUGCAAACGUUGCUCGGAAUCACUGGGCGUAAAGGGCGUGUAGGCGGGAAGGAAAGUCAGAUGUGAAAUCCCCAGGCUCAACCUGGGAACUGCAUUUGAAACUCCCUUUCUUGAGUACCGGAGAGGAAAGUGGAAUUCCUGGUGUAGAGGUGAAAUUCGUAGAUAUCAGGAGGAACACCAGUGGCAAAGGCGGCUUUCUGGACGGUAACUGACGCUGAGACGCGAAAGCGUGGGGAGCAAACAGG